AUUGAACGCUGGCGGCAUGCCUUACACAUGCAAGUCGAACGGCCGCACAGGUGCUUUCCUCUGCUGGCGAUUGGCGCACGGGUGAGUAUUACAUCUGAACAUGUCCUGUAGUGGGGUAUAGCACGGCGAAAGCCGGAUAACUACCGCAUACGAACUACUGAAGAAGGCUGGUUACCUUCUGGCCGCGCGCUUUGCUGUUACCCGUUGGCUGAUUAGCUAGUUGGUGGGGUAAUGGCCUACCAAGGCGACGAUCAGCAGCUGGUCUGAGAGGGCGAUCAGCCACACUGGGACUGAGACACGGCCCAGACUCCUACGGGAGGCAGCAGUGGGGAAUCUUGGACAAUGGGCGAAAGCCUGAUCCAGCAACGCCGCGUGUGUGAAGAAGGUCUUCGGGUUGUAAAGCACUUUUGUCCGGAAAGAACAACUUGGCAAGAAUCCGGUCGCGGGAUGACGGUACCGGAAGAAUAAGCAACGGCUAACUACGUG
This 486-nucleotide ribosomal RNA is filed under the name uncultured bacterium. RNAcentral describes it as "partial 16S ribosomal RNA". It matches the Rfam family "Bacterial small subunit ribosomal RNA", at positions 30 to 507 of the family's 1533-position model. The record is from RNAcentral.